RNAcentral lists this transfer RNA (74 nucleotides) under Aeromonas phage Ahp1_CNU-2021. It matches the Rfam family "tRNA". From Rfam's summary of the family: Transfer RNA (tRNA) molecules are approximately 80 nucleotides in length. Lineage: Duplodnaviria; Heunggongvirae; Uroviricota; Caudoviricetes; Pantevenvirales; Straboviridae. The record is from Rfam by way of RNAcentral.
GCGUCCUUAGCUUAGCUGGUUAGAGCAGCAGACUCUUAAUUUGAAGGUCCUCGGUUCGAUCCCGAGAGGACGCA